UGCAGUCGAGCGGACAGAUGGGAGCUUGCUCCCUGAUGUUAGCGGCGGACGGGUGAGUAACACGUGGGUAACCUGCCUGUAAGACUGGGAUAACUCCGGGAAACCGGGGCUAAUACCGGAUGCUUGUUUGAACCGCAUGGUUCAAACAUAAAAGGUGGCUUCGGCUACCACUUACAGAUGGACCCGCGGCGCAUUAGCUAGUUGGUGAGGUAAUGGCUCACCAAGGCAACGAUGCGUAGCCGACCUGAGAGGGUGAUCGGCCACACUGGGACUGAGACACGGCCCAGACUCCUACGGGAGGCAGCAGUAGGGAAUCUUCCGCAAUGGACGAAAGUCUGACGGAGCAACGCCGCGUGAGUGAUGAAGGUUUUCGGAUCGUAAAGCUCUGUUGUUAGGGAAGAACAAGUACCGUUCGAAUAGGGCGGUACCUUGACGGUACCUAACCAGAAAGCCACGGCUAACUACGUGCCAGCAGCCGCGGUAAUACGUAGGUGGCAAGCGUUGUCCGGAAUUAUUGGGCGUAAAGGGCUCGCAGGCGGUUUCUUAAGUCUGAUGUGAAAGCCCCCGGCUCAACCGGGGAGGGUCAUUGGAAACUGGGGAACUUGAGUGCAGAAGAGGAGAGUGGAAUUCCACGUGUAGCGGUGAAAUGCGUAGAGAUGUGGAGGAACACCAGUGGCGAAGGCGACUCUCUGGUCUGUAACUGACGCUGAGGAGCGAAAGCGUGGGGAGCGAACAGGAUUAGAUACCCUGGUAGUCCACGCCGUAAACGAUGAGUGCUAAGUGUUAGGGGUUUCCGCCCCUUAGUGCUGCAGCUAACGCAUUAAGCACUCCGCCUGGGGAGUACGGUCGCAAGACUGAAACUCAAAG
Molecule: ribosomal RNA, 867 nt
Filed under: Bacillus sp. (in: firmicutes)
Lineage: Bacteria; Bacillati; Bacillota; Bacilli; Caryophanales; Bacillaceae
Description: bacterial SSU rRNA
Rfam family: Bacterial small subunit ribosomal RNA
Source: RNAcentral